GGAUGUGAGGGUGAUCUGGCUUCGAUAUCUAUCACCCCAUUAAUCACCAGGGUUGGUUCGGCUGAUCUGGCUGCCUAGGUGGGUCCUCCCUCACUGCUCCACUCGUGUUCCUCCUGAAGCUGCACUCAGUGGAAGAGGACAACCUUCCCUGAAUAGAGGAGAACCUGUCUUCAGUCAAGGGUAUGCGAGUAGCUGUGCUCCCCUGCUAGAACCUCUGAAAACAGUUGUUCUUAAAGAGCUACUUACCUUUCUCCACAAUAUUAUUAGGUUCCUUCUCUGA
Unclassified non-coding RNA from Mesocricetus auratus (golden hamster), 280 nucleotides. Its record names the gene 7SK. It matches the Rfam family "7SK RNA". From Rfam's summary of the family: 7SK was discovered as an abundant small nuclear RNA in the mid-70s but a possible function has only recently been suggested. Two independent studies have found that 7SK RNA binds the CDK9/cyclin T complex (known as elongation factor P-TEFb). NCBI's taxonomy places the organism in Eukaryota, Metazoa, Chordata, Mammalia, Rodentia, Cricetidae. The record is from Ensembl.